Long non-coding RNA from Ctenopharyngodon idella (grass carp), 5030 nucleotides. RefSeq lists it as uncharacterized. NCBI's taxonomy places the organism in Eukaryota, Metazoa, Chordata, Actinopteri, Cypriniformes, Xenocyprididae. The record is from RefSeq and is a predicted model, not a curated record. The transcript is spliced from 2 exons.
CCCCCUUUUCUUUCACUCUAUCACUGCGUCUCUCUGCUUUCAGGUGUUUUUCUGUCCAAUGUGACUCUGCCAACGCUUGUUGAAAAUUACUUCCAUUAGCUUGCUGCAAAUCAUUGUCACUGUGGAACUGAAUCCCUGUUUGUGUUUUCAAAAUUCAAAGCACAAUGUAAUUUAUGUUCGUACUUUAAAUAUGAAGUUAGUGACUACAGAAGUAUUGGGAUAUAUCAACACAUUGUUGAACUUCUGCAGAUCACUUCUCUUUGUGUAAAGGAUUGUGGGUAAAGGCGAAGUUUUAAGGGUAUCGGGGAUCUCUGAAUCGGGGAUCUCUGAAUCGGGGAUCUCUGAAUCGGGGAUCUCUGAAUCGGGGAUCUCUGAAUCGGGGAUCUCUGAAUCGGGGAUCUCUGAAUCGGGGAUCUCUGAAUCGGGGAUCUCUGAAUCGGGGAUCUCUGAAUCGGGGAUCUCUGAAUCGGGGAUCUCUGAAUCGGGGAUCUCUGAAUCGGGGAUCUCUGAAUCGGGGAUCUCUGAAGGGUGUACCAAUUUAUAUUUUGCAUACUACAAUCUUUGAAUCAGGAUCUUUGAAUCGGGAUCAAGUCAACUGUAUUUCAUCCAGCUAUGCAUACUGUAUACUGCAGCAAUAGUAAGAGUAGCAUGCACUUCAAAACGUUAGCCGCCUUUUCACUGGAGUGUAGUUGUCUGCUAACCCUUCCCAUAAUGCCCCUGACUCAUGCUCUGGUGGAAACGGACCACUCUGAGGUCAGAGGUCCACUCUGAACAUGACAAGUCUGAUUACCCAGAAUCCCUCAGAACAGCAUUCCUUGGCCUGCUAGCGUUGCUAAGAGAUCACAUCAGAGAAAAGCUGUUUUUAAUUGCAUCUCAGGUUGGAUUAUGACCUGAGUGAAUCUGUGCCCAGAGAGGUGCCGAUUAAAGUUUAGCCAAAAAACACUGUGUGAGAACGUUUUUAUGAUCCAUUUAAAAGCAGCACAUGUGAAAAUUCUCCCCCACAAACACUUUACGUUUAACUGCUCUUGUAGUUCACACGUUUUACACUGGUAAAAAAUGAAUAUUAAAGUGUUCUAUGCUCUUCAGGUAUUGUCCCUCUUUGGUGUAAGUCUUGUGUUCACUUGUAUCUUUAAUGUAAUGAUUGUUUUUGAAGACUGUUUGACAGAUCAAGUUUAUUGAUUGGAUGGCUAGACUUUGUGGUUGUCAUGGCAACAACCCAGUGAGAGCUAAAGGUCAUGGAUGAAGAGGUUUACUUGAAGUCUCUUGAGCCGUCCUUGGUGUUUGGCUAAGGCCGUGGGUGCAGUAUGUUUGGUCAGGAUCUCAAAGGGGUUGUAAAAGGUUUCAUCCUCUUGGCGAGAAAGAGAGCGAAUGUGCUAAUGGAUCCACGCACUAACACAUUCUCUGACCACUGUCACUCUAAGGGCCUUCAGAGAGUUGAAUGUUUUCCGAAAAAUAAAAGGUUUUUCACACUUAUGUUUAGAUAUUUUGGUUUGUUACAUUUGUGAAAAUGACUAAAAAUGACCAAAUAAAACAUUUUGGUUAGUUGGUUGGUUUUGUCGUGGUGGUUUUUUUUUUUUUUUUUUUUUUUUUUUGUCCUUUUUAGUUGUUUAAAUAACCAAAUUACUAAAUAAAAUGUUGGUUAUAAUAAUAGUUGGUUGUUGUUGUUGUUGUUGUUGUUGUUGUUGUUGUUGUUGUUGUUGUUCUUCUUCUUAUUAUUAUUAUUAUUAUUAUUAUUAUUAUUAUUAUUAUUAUUUAAUAUUAUUAAUAAUUUAUUUUAUUUAUCUUUUAUUUUUAGUUAUAACCAACAUUUUAUUUGGUAAUUUUGGGUUUGUUUGGUUGUGGGUUUUUUUUUUUUUUUUUUUUUUUUUUUUUUUUUUUUUUAGUGGUUCAUUUACUUGUUGAUAAUAUUUAUUAUUAUUAUUAUUAUUAUUAUUAUUAUUAUUAUUAUUAUUAUUAUUUAACAAUAGCAAUAACAAUGUAUUUUGUCACCAUUUUAAAUUGGUUAAAUAAUAUACAUAAAUUUGUGCAAAACAAUUACAUUAUAAAUGGAAAAGGCACCCAUAUUGUAGAAUUUCCUGCUUCAUCCUGCAUUAUUUUGCUCAAGGAAAAUAGAAAUGGAAUUCUUUUGGCAUGUUUACGUGUAGUCGGGAUGACGCAACUGUAAGUCUGCAGUUAAACUGCUGGAAGAAAGGAGCACUUGGCUUUCUCUUCCUCUACCCUGCUCCAGACCUUUCCAACACACACCUGCCGGAGGGAGAUUACAGCUCUAUUUGUGUGCUGCUGGUCAGCUGUAGGUUCAAACUGCCUGACGCCUCAUGAAGAAUGUGGGAAGUUCAGAAUAAGUCGACGAAGGGCUGAAACGGACAUGCUACGCUGAUUGUUGUCGUUCUCUUGCCCUUGGCUGGGGAAGUGGGUGUUUUGGCGUGGUUUGGGAAGGCAGGACGGGAAAGGAGUUAAUGUCAUCUUGCUGAAAGAUGUUUAUAGAUGCACUGAUAAGUUUCCUGCUCAGUCAGGGGGUUUGUGCUUGCAUCUGUUCAUUAGCACUGCUGAAACAGAGCAAUUUCUACAACAUGCUCCAUAGUCAAGCUGUGUUUUUUUUUUUUUUUUUUUUUUUUUUUUUUUUUUUUUUUUCCCCCCUUUACAGUUUUAAGACUUUAUGGUUUUAAGUCAUUGCUUACUAAAAAUAAUAAAAUGGUUAGUCAAUGGUUUUAGAAUGGCUCUUGGUAGCAACUUUGGUUCAGCUAUAAGGCUAAGUUAUAUGAUUUAUUUAUUUAUUUUUUGGGGGGAGAUUUAAAGUGUUCUGGAUGUUAGGAUGUUUGUUCUGUAUCUUUUAGCAGUGGAGAAUAGUAGAGGUAGUAAAUCUAGACUUGUGUAAUAUAAUGGUGCACAAGUCGUGUACCAAUUUAAUGUACACAUUACAAGUUUAAGAACUUCAAUUAUCAAGUAUAGUUUAUAGUUUUAUGUAAGUUUAAAGAAUGUAUAAGUGUGUAACUUAUAGAAAUUACUACACAUACAUUUAAAUGCAUAAAGUAUAGUGUACAUUAUUUAUGCACAUUAUAUACAGUUUAAAUUCUCUAAUAAUUUACUCUGUAAUGGACCACAAAUUGACCAUAUGCACGGUUACUUCCUGGGUUUUGUUAAGCCUGCUUGGGCGUUUCCGGUGAACUGUUAGCUGUCUUUCGCUGUACAUCGACACAAAACCAUCAAUGAUUGACUUUGUAAUGCUGUAUUUAUAUUUCAGUGCAGUUAUCACACUUGCUUAAUUUCCCAAUAAACGAGUUUUAUUGAUUGCAAUAAAGACAAAGCUAAUGGGAACGUUUGAAUAAGAAAUGCAGUGUCUGUAAUUAGACACGCACACGCAACAUUCCACAGCAAUUUUUUUUUUUUUUUUUUUUUUUUUUUGAAAAACAUUUGUUCAUCCUUCUGAGAUUGUCCCCAUUUGUAAAACUGAACAUUUCAAGAUGUAGGAAACCCAACACUUGAUAAACACUUAUUAAAAAAUAAAAUCCAUUAAAGGGUUAGUUCACCCCAAACUUAAAUUUGUCAUUAAUUGCUCAUCCUCAUUUCGCUCCACACCCGUAAACCCUUCGUUCAUCUUCGUAACACAAAUUAAGAUAUUUUGAUAAUCCGAGAGGUUUUUUUUUAUUUUAUUUUUUUUUUUUUUUAUCCUCCAUUGAAAGCAACAAAAUUAGCACAUUCAAGUUCCAGAAAAGUAGUAAAAACAUUGUUAAAAUAGUCAAUGUGACUACAGUGGUUAAACCGUAAUGUUAUGAAGCGACGAAUACUUUUUGUGUGAAAACAAAAAAACAAAUUCAUCUCUCCCCUGUCAUUCUGCUACGCUUAAUUAUUAUUAUUAUUAUUAUUAAUUUUUUUUUUUUUUUUUUUUUUUUGCAGUGCUUCCAGGUUCUACAUCUGAACACCAGCUCAGUAUUGGCUGACGCCUGUUCACGUGAGCAGCACGAGACAUGCAUGUCAUGCUGACGCAGGAGCCGGCCAAUAAUGAGCCGGCGUUCAGACGUAAACGCAGCACUGCGUAGGAGAAUGACAGGGAAGAGAAGACAUUGUUGAAAUCGCUUUUUUUUUUUUUUUUUUUUUUUUUUUUUUUUUGCCGCACAAAAAGUAUUCUCGUCGCUUCAUAACAUUAAGGUUGAACCACUGUAGUCACAUUGACUAUUUUAAUGUUUUAUUUUCUGGACCUUGAAUGAUGGUAAUUUCGUUGCUUUCAAUGGAGGCCUCACUGAGCCAUCGGAUUUCAUCAAAAUAUCUUAAUUUGUGUUCUGAAGAUGAACGAAGGUCUUCCGGGUGUGGAACGACAUGAGGGUGAGUAAUUAAUGAGAAUUUUUCAUUUUUGGGCGAACUAACCCUAAUUACCACUAUAACCAUCAGAUGGUGGCAGAGGACCAUUUAUUGGCUCAUAUUAGCCAUUUCCUGUAAUAGUUUUUCACUCAGUUUCGCUUUUGAAUAUAUAUUAAACAUUAUAAAAUCACUAAGUUUAAAAAUACAUUGUCAAGGUGAAGUAUGAAGUACUCACAAUCUCAUGAAAAACCAUAACUUUUUUUUUUUUUUUUUUUUUUUGUGUGAAUGAAUUACACAAAGCGCCAUGCCUCUUCCUUUACAAUUACAGAAGCUGUCAGUCAGUGCAGCGAAAGCUCAAUGGUUUUGGCACACUUGUGAAAACUUUUAUGUGCACAAUAAAUCUUUAAUUUAGAGUGUUGAUGUGUUUUUUUUUUUUUUCACACGAAAGUGAAAUUUUGCAGAGGAGGAACACUGACACGUCUUUGUCGUCUUUAGUUUGAAUAACUAAACUAACACACGGCCUGACUAUUUAAGUGACUAUAUUCUGAUUGUAAACUAAGUAUUACACUAUUGAUGCUGUUAAAGCCACCUCAGGACAUUGAAGAUACCGACACACCAACAAGUGACAUUUCACCAGAAGUUUUCCAGCUGGCUUUCCAUGCAUAUGGUUCAUUAAGUCUUCUUUCCUACUAGGAAAAAAAUGUUGUUGUCUAGAAGAAACAUUUGCAAUAAUA